UCGUUUCGUUGAAGAUUUAAACGAGUAUGAUAGAUAAAAACUGAUUGAAUUGAUAAUAUAGCAAGAAUUAUAACCAAUAAUCUAUUUUGCAGUUAAAUUACAGAAUCUUUAUUGACACCAUUGGUAGAAGAUUUGGAAUUAAAAAAAGAAGAAAAAAUCAAACAAUUUAAAGAUAUAAACAGUUGAGCUGGAAAGGUUAUAAUGCUUGGCUAUGAUGAAGGUUAUGAGACAUGUGCUUUCUUAGGUACUAAUGACCGUGCUUUCUUAUAUCGAUUCUUUUCAACAAGAGUCCAGGCUUGACAUGAUGCCUACUAAAGAAGGAACACAUGAGUAAUUCCAUGAAGAGGACAAGUAGACUUCAUAUUGUUAACCGAUGACUCCGAGAACAGUUUAGGAACAAGCAUUGGCCAACACUUGCGAGCCUAGGUGGCGACAACUUGAAAUUUUGGCGUCACGAAUCGGGAAAAUGUGUUACUCGUGUAGAUUCGGUUUCGAUGAGUGGGGUUACUUUACGGCCACACUCUCUCAAGAAAAAAAACCUUCUUGGUGCUCUCGAGGAUGCAGAUUUAUGCUUGGUUUCCUUUCGAUUUGGAGACACUGAUUGGUGACUGGUCGGUUGGUGCAUUUGGAGAUGUUCGGAAUUUGUUCAAGUCAUUUACAAGGCAGUUUGGGAUGAAGGCAACAAUUGGCAAUUGGUUUUAGACAUUCCCAUUUAACAAAACUAGCAUGGGAACUGAGAGAUCGCCAACUUGGACAUACCAACUUGCUACACUUAUGGACCUUGCAAAUUAUACAGAAGAUGGGUUAAGAGCUAUGGUGUUAUUCUUAUAAAAAGAUUAAAGACUGGAUAUUGAAGUUCAUUCCAU
This 866-nucleotide long non-coding RNA is filed under the name Helianthus annuus (common sunflower). Lineage: Eukaryota; Viridiplantae; Streptophyta; Magnoliopsida; Asterales; Asteraceae. The record is from RNAcentral.